RNAcentral lists this non-coding RNA (46 nucleotides) under Trichobilharzia regenti. Lineage: Eukaryota; Metazoa; Platyhelminthes; Trematoda; Strigeidida; Schistosomatidae. The record is from RNAcentral.
GUACUGCUGAAGAGUCCCAAAGUAGGACGAGAUGGCUGUCCAGUAC